AUCAAAUUAGCAAAAUUAAUGCAAUUGGUUUAGGACCAAUAGAUAUAGAUGAAAUUUCUUUAUUGAUACCA
Molecule: transfer RNA, 71 nt
Filed under: Tritia tingitana
Lineage: Eukaryota; Metazoa; Mollusca; Gastropoda; Neogastropoda; Nassariidae
Description: tRNA-Leu
Rfam family: tRNA
About the family: Transfer RNA (tRNA) molecules are approximately 80 nucleotides in length.
Source: RNAcentral